GAUAAACGCUGGCGGCGCACAUAAGACAUGCAAGUCGAACGGACUUAACCAUUAGUUUACUAUUGGAGCGGUUAGUGGCGGACUGGUGAGUAACGCGUAAGCAAUCUGCCUAUCAGUGGGGGACAACAGUUGGAAACGACUGCUAAUACCGCAUGACGCUUCUUAGGGGCAUCCCUGAGAAGUCAAAGCUUUAUGUGCUGAAAGAUGGCCUCGCGUCUGAUUAGCUAGUUGGUGGGGUAACGGCCCACCAAGGCGACGAUCAGUAGCCGGUCUGAGAGGAUGAACGGCCUCAUUGGGACUGAGAUACGGCCCAG
RNAcentral lists this ribosomal RNA (314 nucleotides) under uncultured bacterium. RNAcentral's name for it is "bacterial SSU rRNA". It matches the Rfam family "Bacterial small subunit ribosomal RNA", at positions 28 to 334 of the family's 1533-position model. The record is from RNAcentral.